AUAGCUCAGUGGUAGAGCCCUUGCCUAGCAUGUAUGAGGCCCUGGGUUUGAUCCCAGU
RNAcentral lists this transfer RNA (58 nucleotides) under Ictidomys tridecemlineatus (thirteen-lined ground squirrel). RNAcentral's name for it is "Spermophilus tridecemlineatus (thirteen-lined ground squirrel) tRNA". It matches the Rfam family "tRNA", at positions 7 to 64 of the family's 71-position model. From Rfam's summary of the family: Transfer RNA (tRNA) molecules are approximately 80 nucleotides in length. Their secondary structure includes four short double-helical elements and three loops (D, anti-codon, and T loops). Further hydrogen bonds mediate the characteristic L-shaped molecular structure. tRNAs have two regions of fundamental functional importance: the anti-codon, which is responsible for specific mRNA codon recognition, and the 3' end, to which the tRNAs corresponding amino acid is attached (by aminoacyl-tRNA synthetases). tRNAs cope with the degeneracy of the genetic code in two manners: having more than one tRNA (with a specific anti-codon) for a particular amino acid; and 'wobble' base-pairing, i.e. permitting non-standard base-pairing at the 3rd anti-codon position. Lineage: Eukaryota; Metazoa; Chordata; Mammalia; Rodentia; Sciuridae. The record is from Rfam by way of RNAcentral.